Molecule: long non-coding RNA, 873 nt
Organism: Engraulis encrasicolus (European anchovy)
Lineage: Eukaryota; Metazoa; Chordata; Actinopteri; Clupeiformes; Engraulidae
Exons: 4
Source: RefSeq, a predicted model, not a curated record
CAGUGAGACACAGAAGCCCUUUCGCUUCCUUCCGUUCCACCACUGACCGGGGGUUGUGUUGUUGAUGUCGGGGAGGACACUCUAGCUGGUGCUUCUCGCUGUAAGCGAGUGCGUUGACUCGUACAGUCUCUCCUGCUGUAAUUGCUCGUGGCUCGGCUUGUGGCUGGAGCACUGAAGUCCUCCGAGUAGUGCGCGAAGCGUGUGCAAGCUUCUGCUACGGAGAUCUUUGCGCCAUCACGAUUCAGAUUGAGGCUACGUGCGCAGUAUAACCACUCGGGCGGGGAGUGACCAGCAACUAGGGUGACUCCGCGGCAUCACAGGCUGCUGCUCUGUUUGGGAACAUAGUCCCCUUUUGGGUUACUGCUUUCCACUGGCGCAACAGGUCGUGGGCUACUGUGGUCGGGUUCUAUCGACGCAGCGCAGACCCCCAGCAAUGCGCACUCUCACCUGCUGACUACCUGCACUCGCGGCAACACCGCUGACCGCAUAGGCUAUUUUGUGUUUAAGUUUUGAUUUGAUUUAUUUUGUGGUUGCAUAGGUGGCAAUGUGCAACACCCCUAUUUUGUGAUUAUUUUGUGGACGUGGGGUAUUCGUGAGAGGCAUACCCCUCACAUGUUUCUGCUGUGUUAUUUCUGUUGUCUUACCAAAUUCAACUGAAGACAUUCUGUUUUAUUUGGUUUUUGUUUCUUUUUUUUUGUUUUCUAUUAGUUGGGUUGAUUAAUUUUGUUGGACCUGACCUGACUGGGUCUUCUGAGGUCUGUUCCCUCAGAUUGCAGCAGCCUAACUGCAUUGGGGGGACUGGCUUCUCCAGUCCCAGUGGGUCUCUGUCUGUCUGUCUGUGUGUGUGUGGUGUGUGCGUGUGGUGUCUCUGUG